Molecule: ribosomal RNA, 245 nt
Filed under: uncultured Hungatella sp.
Lineage: Bacteria; Bacillati; Bacillota; Clostridia; Lachnospirales; Lachnospiraceae
Description: partial 16S ribosomal RNA
Rfam family: Bacterial small subunit ribosomal RNA
Source: RNAcentral
UACGUAGGGGGCAAGCGUUAUCCGGAUUUACUGGGUGUAAAGGGAGCGUAGACGGUAAAGCAAGUCUGAAGUGAAAUGUAAGGGCUUAACCCUUAAACUGCUUUGGAAACUGUUUAACUGGAGUGCAGGAGGGGUAAGUGGAAUUCCUGGUGUAGCGGUGAAAUGCGUAGAUAUCAGGAGGAACACCGGUGGCGAAGGCGGCUUACUGGACUGUAACUGACGUUGAGGCUCGAAAGCGUGGGGAG